GAUGAAGAACGUAGCGAAAUGCGAUAAGUAGUGUGAAUUGCAGAAUUCAGUGAAUCAUUGAAUCUUUGAACGCACAUUGCGCCCUUUGGUAUUCCUUAGGGCAUGCCUGUUCGAGCGUCAUUUAAACCUUCAAGCUCAGCUUGGUGUUGGGUGACUGUCCGCCGCCUCCGGGCGGUCGGACUCGCCUCAAAUUGAUUGGCGGCCGGUACUUUGGCUUCGAGCGCAGCAGAAACGCGAACUCGAGGCCGUCGUCCUGGCUCCCAGAAGCUAUCUUCACAAUUUUGACCUCGGAUCAGGUAGGGAUACCCGCUGAACUUAAGCAUAUCAAUAAGCGGAGGA
Molecule: unclassified non-coding RNA, 339 nt
Filed under: soil metagenome
Description: partial contains 5.8S ribosomal RNA, internal transcribed spacer 2, and large subunit ribosomal RNA
Rfam family: 5.8S ribosomal RNA (bases 1-120)
Source: RNAcentral